This 71-nucleotide transfer RNA is filed under the name Bos taurus (domestic cattle). It matches the Rfam family "tRNA". Rfam says of the family: Transfer RNA (tRNA) molecules are approximately 80 nucleotides in length. RNAcentral also lists the same sequence under 4 other names. Lineage: Eukaryota; Metazoa; Chordata; Mammalia; Artiodactyla; Bovidae. The record is from Rfam by way of RNAcentral.
UCCCUGGAAGUCCAGUGGUUAGGACUUGACACUUUCACUGCCAAGUCCUGGGUUCAAUCCCUAUUAGGGGA